GGGCUUGUGGUUUAGUGGUAUAAUACUCCCUUAGCAUCUGAUGGUCUUCUCAAGAAGCUGAUGAGAAAAUGGGAGUGGUCCGGGGUUCGAUUCCCCGCGAGUCCA
Molecule: non-coding RNA, 105 nt
Organism: Xylaria digitata
Lineage: Eukaryota; Fungi; Ascomycota; Sordariomycetes; Xylariales; Xylariaceae
Source: the annotation of a GenBank genome assembly